UCUGUUUUUGCGGUCACCAUCUGUGAGUGAGUUUUUGUUUUUUAUUAAAUUGUUUUUCACCUACCGUCAUGCUGCCUGCUAGUCUGCAUUCUGGGUUCGUCCGUUGUUCACGUCCUGACUAAAUCUGCUAGGGGAGGUCUGACCCACAAGCCUGUUGAAAGACUUCAAAGCAGAAGAGCAUAGAUUAAUUUCAAAACUGAACUCUUGAAGAAGAAUAUCUGGUCAUAAUUUCUUGACAUUAAGCUUGAACACCAGGAAGAUGAACAGAAGCACACCAAUGGCCAAAAAAAAAACAACAACUAAAAAACAAGAUGAAGGUUUUAGAGGGCCCAG
Molecule: long non-coding RNA, 333 nt
Organism: Girardinichthys multiradiatus
Lineage: Eukaryota; Metazoa; Chordata; Actinopteri; Cyprinodontiformes; Goodeidae
Exons: 3
Source: RefSeq, a predicted model, not a curated record